AGCAGUAUGGUGUAAUGAUGCACACAGGGAUUCAUUACUCAAGAUAUGAGAAAUAAUGUAUUCCCGAGGUCCUUGUUCGAAUCAAGGUACUGCUC
Molecule: non-coding RNA, 95 nt
Organism: Mycena leptocephala
Lineage: Eukaryota; Fungi; Basidiomycota; Agaricomycetes; Agaricales; Mycenaceae
Source: the annotation of a GenBank genome assembly